CAUUGCGCGCUCCUGUGUUCUAUCUACCGGCGUUGCUCCACCACCUCUCCAUCGUCGCCGCCUCUUCGUCUAUACUUCAUUUCGCCAAGCGAAACCCUAGUUCCUUUGAACUCUAAUUGCCCCGUAUUCAUUCUCAUACUUGAUAUAUGCGAGUAGUUGCCCUAAACCUAGCUUAACAUAUGGAAAAACCUCUUCCUUUCUCUUUUCCUUGUUAACCAUCAUUACUUCCAGAUGGCCACAACCUUAUUUGGGGCAACCCUUCGCGGAAGCAAGAAUGUCGCAUUUCUAUUUCAUCUCCAAAUGCGCAAUGGGCUUGGCCAUCUAAUUGGCAUUCUCCCGCUCUCUCAAUCUGUUUUACCCAAACCCACACUAGGGAAACACAUUAAUAGAACUAUUUGUUCGGGUUUCACCCUGGCAGCUGCACCAUUGCUGUGCCGUCAAUCCUCAGGUUUUUGCACGGCGGUAGAAUGCGAUGUAAAAACGGUGCUCGCGCCCUCAACUGGUUUAGCAACUAAGUCCAAGAACAAAAAAGCGAGGAUGAAAUCGAGGGUGGACUUCACAAAAAUGGAUCCUUCACUUCUACCAACUGUGAUAAUCGUUGGCCGUCCCAACGUUGGAAAGUCUGCACUUUUCAACCGUUUGAUUCGGAGGAGGGAGGCACUCGUGUACAACACCCCUGAUGACCAUGUCACUCGGGACAUCAGAGAGGGAAUUGCCAAGUUGGGGGAUUUGAGGUUUAAGGUCUUGGAUUCAGCAGGGUUGGAGACGGAAGCCACAUCGGGUACUAUUCUCAGUAGAACGACAGAGAUGACAGGAAAUGUUUUGGCAAAGACCCAAUUGGCCAUUUUCUUGAUUGAUGUGAGGGAUGGACUCCAGCCGCUUGAUCUUGAAGUAGGGAAGUGGAUGCGGAAGCAUGCAUCUAACAUCCACACGAUUGUGGCCAUGAAUAAGUCCGAAUCACUUGAUGAACGAGGGCUUGUUACUGCGGCUGCUGGGGAAGCUCAUAGCUUGGGAUUUGGUGAUCCGAUUGCAAUAUCUGCAGAGACUGGGCUGGGAAUGGCGGAACUCUAUGGGACCCUUCGACCUUUGUUGGAAGACUAUGCACUUCAACUUCCUAAUGAUAUGAAAUGUGAUGAAAAUGCCUUAGUCGAAGUCGGUGAGAAUUCAGAGAGCAAGGUAUCCCUACAAUUGGCAAUUGUGGGACGUCCUAAUGUUGGAAAGUCUACACUGUUGAAUACUUUGCUUCAAGAAGAAAGAGUUCUGGUUGGGCCAGAGUCUGGCUUGACAAGAGAUUCAAUUAGAGCCAAGUUUCAAUUUGAAGACCGCACUAUAUAUUUGGUGGAUACAGCAGGUUGGUUGCAUAGAUCUGGACAAGAAAAAGGCCCUUCUUCUUUGAGCAUCGUGCAGACAAGAAAAAAUCUCAUGAGGGCUCACGUUGUAGCAUUGAUACUUGAUGGAGAGGAGAAUUUAGAAGUAUUAUGUAAUACCCUGACUUGAGCGAGCCGCGUGAAGAAGUCGAAGAAGUUGAAAAAGACGAAGCUGUCAAAGGAACUUUCCGUCACGUAUUGUGGAAACCGAAGGAAGGAAACUUAAGAAGACGAAGAGGGUUCAAAUGGUUUGAUGCCGUUUGGUCUUCUGGUCACGACCGGCUUCGUCCACUGAAGACGACGAAGGAGGAGUCGAAGAAGUCGAUCGAAGCUCAAUUGACGUGAAUUGCGUUGCUUGGAAGCCGAAGGAGGCGUUGAUGGAAUCAAAAGAAAGUGCGUCGGAUGGAGUGUUCGUUGCCGUUUGGAGUCAGAGGAAGCAGAGGAUGCGAUAACUUCCUUUAAAUAGGGAUUUAGGGAGAUGAGAAAAGACAAGUUGAGAACAAGAACAAGGGAGGAGAAAUCAAGGUUUUGCAUGCAAGAGGAUACAAAGAUUGCGAGAAAAAAGAGCAGUAUGAAACAUGAUGAAGUGAUUAUAGCUCGUCAAGCAGUUGAAGAGGGCCGUGCUCUGGUUGUGAUAGUGAACAAGAUGGAUCUUCUCAGAGGGAAACAAAAUUCUG
RNA transcript from Dendrobium catenatum, 2044 nucleotides. It is a transcript of the gene named GTPase Der, with no coding region annotated. Lineage: Eukaryota; Viridiplantae; Streptophyta; Magnoliopsida; Asparagales; Orchidaceae. The record is from RefSeq and is a predicted model, not a curated record. The transcript is spliced from 7 exons.